RNAcentral lists this ribosomal RNA (472 nucleotides) under uncultured bacterium. RNAcentral's name for it is "bacterial SSU rRNA". It matches the Rfam family "Bacterial small subunit ribosomal RNA", at positions 328 to 793 of the family's 1533-position model. The record is from RNAcentral.
CUCUGUGACUCCUACGGGAGGCAGCAGUGGGGAAUAUUGCACAAUGGGCGCAAGCCUGAUGCAGCCAUGCCGCGUGUAUGAAGAAGGCCUUCGGGUUGUAAAGUACUUUCAGCAGUGAGGAAGGUGGAUAUGUUAAUAGCAUAUUCAUUUGACGUUAGCUGCAGAAGAAGCACCGGCUAACUCCGUGCCAGCAGCCGCGGUAAUACGGAGGGUGCGAGCGUUAAUCGGAAUUACUGGGCGUAAAGCGCAUGCAGGUGGUUUGUUAAGUCAGAUGUGAAAGCCCCGGGCUCAACCUCGGAAUUGCAUUUGAAACUGGCAAACUAGAGUACUGUAGAGGGGGUAGAAUUUCAGGUGUAGCGGUGAAAUGCGUAGAGAUCUGAAGGAAUACCGGUGGCGAAGGCGGCCCCCUGGACAGAUACUGACACUCAGAUGCGAAAGCGUGGGGAGCAAACAGGAUUAGAUACCCUGGUAG